Molecule: ribosomal RNA, 790 nt
Filed under: uncultured beta proteobacterium
Lineage: Bacteria; Pseudomonadati; Pseudomonadota; Betaproteobacteria
Description: bacterial SSU rRNA
Rfam family: Bacterial small subunit ribosomal RNA
Source: RNAcentral
CGGAUUAGUUUGAUCCUGGCUCAGAUUGAACGCUGGCGGAAUGCUUUACACAUGCAAGUCGAGCGGCAGCGCGGGGCAACCUGGCGGCGAGCGGCGAACGGGUGAGUAACAUAUCGGAACGUACCCAGUCGUGGGGGAUAACUAUCCGAAAGGAUAGCUAAUACCGCAUACGACCUGAGGGUGAAAGGGGGGGAUCGCAAGACCUCUCGCGAUUGGAGCGGCCGAUAUCGGAUUAGCUAGUUGGUGAGGUAAAGGCUCACCAAGGCGACGAUCUGUAGCUGGUCUGAGAGGACGACCAGCCACACUGGAACUGAGACACGGUCCAGACUCCUACGGGAGGCAGCAGUGGGGAAUAUUGGACAAUGGGCGAAAGCCUGAUCCAGCCAUGCCGCGUGAUAGAUGAAGGCCCUCUGGGUUGUAAAUAUCUUUUAUCUGGGAAGAAACAAUCUUAUUCUUAAGAUCUUGACGGUACCAGAGGAAUAAGCACCGGCUAACUACGUGCCAGCAGCCGCGGUAAUACGUAGGGUGCGAGCGUUAAUCGGAAUUACUGGGCGUAAAGCGUGCGCAGGCGGUUCCAUAAGACAGAUGUGAAAUCCCCGGGCUUAACCUGGGAACUGCGUUUGUGACUGUGGGACUCGAGUGUGGCAGAGGGGGGUGGAAUUCCACGUGUAGCAGUGAAAUGCGUAGAGAUGUGGAGGAACACCGAUGGCGAAGGCAGCCCCCUGGGUCAACACUGACGCUCAUGCACGAAAGCGUGGGGAGCAAACAGGAUUAGAUACCCUGGUAGUCC